This 492-nucleotide ribosomal RNA is filed under the name uncultured bacterium. RNAcentral describes it as "partial 16S ribosomal RNA". It matches the Rfam family "Bacterial small subunit ribosomal RNA", at positions 29 to 507 of the family's 1533-position model. The record is from RNAcentral.
AGUGAACGCUGGCGGUAGGCCUAACACAUGCAAGUCGAACGGCAGCACAGUAAGAGCUUGCUCUUACGGGUGGCGAGUGGCGGACGGGUGAGGAAUACAUCGGAAUCUACUUUUUCGUGGGGGAUAACGUAGGGAAACUUACGCUAAUACCGCAUACGACCUACGGGUGAAAGCAGGGGAUCUUCGGACCUUGCGCGAUUGAAUGAGCCGAUGUCGGAUUAGCUAGUUGGCGGGGUAAAGGCCCACCAAGGCGACGAUCCGUAGCUGGUCUGAGAGGAUGAUCCGCCACACUGGAACUGAGACACGGUCCAGACUCCUACGGGAGGCAGCAGUGGGGAAUAUUGGACAAUGGGCGCAAGCCUGAUCCAGCCAUACCGCGUGGGUGAAGAAGGCCUUCGGGUUGUAAAGCCCUUUUGUUGGGAAAGAAAAGCAGCAGGUUAAUACCCCGCUGUUCUGACGGUACCCAAAGAAUAAGCACCGGCUGACUUCGUG